GUAACCGGUCAUCCCAGUAGUAGUCUCCCAGGUGCGCCAUCCUGCUCGCAGCCCGAUCCCGGGCUAGGGCGCCGAAGAAGCUGGGGGAAGGCGGCACCCGAGCUGCACGGCGUGCUCAUGGGGGUGGAGGGACAGCGAGCCCCCCGGCGAUGAGACGGCCGCACUGGCUGUAUGAUGCGGUCGGUCUCCACCGGCUCCUUUUUCACUUCAAACUUCAUCAGAUCGAAGUCAUUAACAUAUUCCAUGGCCAGGGGACUGGUGGGCAGGUCGGAGUUGCUCAUCGCCAGUUCCGUUGCCAUCCUCCUGCCGCCGCCGCCGCCGCCGCCGCUCCGCCAGAUGGGCUGCAGGAGAGGGGCCAGCGGGCUGUGCUGGGCGGCGCGCUUUGCAUAAGGAGGGCUCGGCUCGCCGGGGCGCGCGCGGCGGCCGCUCGGGGCUGCAGGCGCGGCGGGCGCUGUCCGGGCGGUGCGGGCCUUGGCACGGGGGAGUUAACGCUUCAUGCUUCUCGCCUCCGCGUCUCCUGGCUCGCUCGCUCUCUUUUUCCUCUUUCUCUCUCUCUCCUCUCCCUCGCUCUCGCUCCCUCUGUGCACAGUGCAAGACAGAAGUGCAGCCUGGCUGGAGGGAAGGGAGCGAGGAGUUAA
RNAcentral lists this long non-coding RNA (638 nucleotides) under Oryctolagus cuniculus (rabbit). RNAcentral's name for it is "lncRNA (ENSOCUG00000034154.1)". The record is from RNAcentral. Lineage: Eukaryota; Metazoa; Chordata; Mammalia; Lagomorpha; Leporidae.